AUACGGAGGGUGCAAGCGUUAUCCGGAUUUAUUGGGUUUAAAGGGUCCGUAGGCGGACUUGUAAGUCAGUGGUGAAAUCCCAUAGCUUAACUAUGAAACUGCCAUUGAUACUGCAGGUCUUGAGUAAAUUUGAAGUGGCUGGAAUAAGUAGUGUAGCGGUGAAAUGCAUAGAUAUUACUUAGAACACCAAUUGCGAAGGCAGGUCACUAAGAUUUAACUGACGCUGAUGGACGAAAGCGUGGGUAGCGAACAGGAUUAGAAACCCUAGUAGUCC
Molecule: ribosomal RNA, 274 nt
Filed under: uncultured bacterium
Lineage: Bacteria
Description: partial 16S ribosomal RNA
Rfam family: Bacterial small subunit ribosomal RNA
Source: RNAcentral